This 164-nucleotide ribosomal RNA is filed under the name Bidens hintonii. Its description in RNAcentral is "5.8S ribosomal RNA". It matches the Rfam family "5.8S ribosomal RNA". Rfam says of the family: 5.8S ribosomal RNA (5.8S rRNA) is a component of the large subunit of the eukaryotic ribosome. It is transcribed by RNA polymerase I as part of the 45S precursor that also contains 18S and 28S rRNA. The record is from RNAcentral. Lineage: Eukaryota; Viridiplantae; Streptophyta; Magnoliopsida; Asterales; Asteraceae.
AACGACUCUCGGCAACGGAUAUCUCGGCUCACGCAUCGAUGAAGAACGUAGCAAAAUGCGAUACUUGGUGUGAAUUGCAGAAUCCCGUGAACCAUCGAGUUUUUGAACGCAAGUUGCGCCCGAAGCCUUCUGGCCGAGGGCACGUCUGCCUGGGCGUCACGCAU